Cucurbita maxima (winter squash) is the source of this 164-nucleotide long non-coding RNA. RefSeq lists it as uncharacterized. The record is from RefSeq and is a predicted model, not a curated record. Lineage: Eukaryota; Viridiplantae; Streptophyta; Magnoliopsida; Cucurbitales; Cucurbitaceae. The transcript is spliced from 3 exons.
CUAAACUAAAAAUUUUGAAUGUACAGAUGGGGAGGUCAAUCGGACCUAGUCUUCCAAUUUUUUACGGGAGAUUUUAUGAAGCCAAGAAUCAAAGAGGUUGAUGAGUUACUGGCUAAAGGUGUUAAUGUGACGGUCUAUAGCGGUCAAGUGGAUCUUAUUUGUUC